GUGCUCGCUUUGGCAGCACAUAUACUAAAAUUGAAAUGAUACAGUGAAGAUUACCAUGGCCCCUGCGCAAGCAUGACAUGCAAAUGUGUAAAGCAUUCCAUAUUUUU
This 107-nucleotide small nuclear RNA is filed under the name Octodon degus (degu). Lineage: Eukaryota; Metazoa; Chordata; Mammalia; Rodentia; Octodontidae. The record is from RNAcentral.